AGGGGAUCUUCUUUUCCUUUUGUAUAAUGCCUCCAGAGAAUGCUUUUGCAAGCAUCCCACUUUGGUAUGGUAGGUGUUGGAAAAUCCCACCACUCCAGCUGUGGGGUUGCGGCUGCUUGGGGACUUCCAAUGCAUUGCUUUUUAUGGAGAAGUCUUGGGCCUUUUAGGAGGGCUUGUUUCUUCUCUCACCCAAUGUAGCCUCCCGAUCCUCCUUAAAGGAAUAAUCAAGAGAUAGA
This 236-nucleotide long non-coding RNA is filed under the name Elaeis guineensis (African oil palm). RNAcentral describes it as "long non-coding RNA (EGUI_LNC033355)". The record is from RNAcentral. Lineage: Eukaryota; Viridiplantae; Streptophyta; Magnoliopsida; Arecales; Arecaceae.